CAGCACCGCGGGAAUACGAAGGGGGCUAGCGUUGCUCGGAAUUACUGGGCGUAAAGGGAGCGUAGGCGGACAUUUAAGUCAGGGGUGAAAUCCCAGAGCUCAACUCUGGAACUGCCUUUGAUACUGGGUGUCUUGAGUGUGAUGGAGGUAUGUGGAACUCCGAGUGUAGAGGUGAAAUUCGUAGAUAUUCGGAAGAACACCAGUGGCGAAGGCGACAUACUGGAUCAUUACUGACGCUGAGGUUCGAAAGCGUGGGGAGCAAACAGGAUUAGAUACCCGCGUAGUCCCUGUCUCUUAUACA
RNAcentral lists this ribosomal RNA (301 nucleotides) under uncultured bacterium. Its description in RNAcentral is "partial 16S ribosomal RNA". It matches the Rfam family "Bacterial small subunit ribosomal RNA", at positions 509 to 808 of the family's 1533-position model. The record is from RNAcentral.